ACAGAGGGUGCAAGCGUUAAUCGGAAUUACUGGGCGUAAAGAGUGCGUAGGUGGUUGUGUAAGUUAGAUGUGAAAUCCCUGGGCUCAACCUAGGAACUGCGUUUAAAACUGCAUAGCUAGAGUAUUGUAGAGGAUAGUGGAAUUUCCAGUGUAGCGGUGAAAUGCGUAGAUAUUGGAAGGAACACCAGUGGCGAAGGCGACUAUCUGGGCAAAUACUGACACUGAGGCACGAAAGCAUGGGGAGCAAACAG
Molecule: ribosomal RNA, 251 nt
Filed under: uncultured prokaryote
Description: partial 16S rRNA
Rfam family: Bacterial small subunit ribosomal RNA
Source: RNAcentral